This 405-nucleotide long non-coding RNA is filed under the name Manacus vitellinus (golden-collared manakin). RNAcentral describes it as "lncRNA (ENSMVIG00005018754.1)". The record is from RNAcentral. Lineage: Eukaryota; Metazoa; Chordata; Aves; Passeriformes; Pipridae.
CCUCAGAUACACCUGGGUAUAGAGCUGGACAUAAAUAAGGUCAUAAAUGAAAAGUUACUUCUGAUCCCUCAAGCUAUUUUAUGUCUGCAGAGUGCAAAACCAGCAUUAGAACUUGUUCGGUCUCCCUCUGUUCCGGGAGAAGAGGCUAAAGAGGAGGAAAAUUACAACAACCCUCCGUCUGUUGCUGCACCACAGCCUGGACAACCUGAAUCAAGUGCAAAACCAGCAUUAGAACUUGUUCGGUCUCCCUCUGUUCCUGGGGAUGAGGACAAAGAGGAGGAAAAUUACAACAACCCUCCGUCUGUUGCUGCACCACAGCCUGGACAACCAGAAUCAGUAAGCACCAGCUUUGGUUGGCACUGUCUUUGCUGCAAAGCAGAGUUGGAAGUUUCUGACCAGACAGCA